ACACCAGCCGAGCGUACGACAACAUGCCGCUGCGGCCGACGCCCUGAAGCGUCACGAGUUAAUAUCGGCUAGCCUGCCAACCUCAUUGUAAUAAGAAGUAGCCAAAAAAGUCAGCAGCCAUCAAAGCGACUGUCGUGAUCCACAGGGAAGGCGUCCAUGAUUAAGCGCUGUGUGGUUGCCGAAGUGCGGGAGCGAUAGACGCAAGAAAUCUCAUCAGCAGCCUCUUCGCUCGGUGAGCCGCCUCGCGAUAUUGGACUGCCGGCGAGUUAAUUAAUCUGCUUCCAGCGAGUUUGCCGCG
This is a long non-coding RNA of Schistocerca gregaria, 298 nucleotides long. RefSeq lists it as uncharacterized. The record is from RefSeq and is a predicted model, not a curated record. The transcript is spliced from 4 exons. NCBI's taxonomy places the organism in Eukaryota, Metazoa, Arthropoda, Insecta, Orthoptera, Acrididae.